This 883-nucleotide ribosomal RNA is filed under the name Porites astreoides. RNAcentral's name for it is "eukaryotic LSU rRNA". It matches the Rfam family "Eukaryotic large subunit ribosomal RNA", at positions 113 to 799 of the family's 3401-position model. The record is from RNAcentral. Lineage: Eukaryota; Metazoa; Cnidaria; Anthozoa; Scleractinia; Poritidae.
AUUUGAAAUCUCCGACCCUCGCGGGUCGGCGAAUUGUAGUUGCGAGAAGCACUUUCUAGGCGGAUCGGUGGUGCCUAAGUUGCUUGGAACAGUACGUCAUAGAGGGUGACAACCCCGUCUGUGGCUCGGCCGACCGCUCACGAUGUGCUUUCGAAGAGUCGGGUUGUUUGGGAAUGCAGCCCAAAAAUGGUGGUAAACUCCAUCUAAAGCUAAAUACUGACGUGAGACCGAUAGCGAACAAGUACCGUGAGGGAAAGAUGAAAAGAACUUUGAAAAGAGAGUUAAAAAGUACGUGAAACCGUUUGAAGGGAAACGAAUGGACUCAGCAAUGCGCCCUUUGAGAUUCAGCCGGGCGGUUGUGGCGGUCCGGGGCUUGCGGAUCUGAAUGGACCGCGGUCUCGGGCCCGUCGCUUCCGACCGUCGCACUUCUCUUGGACGCGAGUCAACGUCGGUUGGGACUGGGCCUCAAAGGUUCCGGGAAGGUAGGUCCGGACGCUCGCGUUCGGACUGUUACAGCCCGGUUCUCUCGCGGCUCGGGCCCGACCGAGGCGGAUGCAGCACAUGCCUCUUCUGGCUAGGGUCCCGUCCUUCCGGCCGGUUGUCGAAUGCGGUGGACUGCUUGCAGUGCUCUGCGACUGCUGCCGGUCGUUGGGGUGGUGAUCUCGUACCAUGUGCUAAGGACGUUGGCGGUCAUAUGGGUCCAUCCGACCCGUCUUGAAACACGGACCAAGGAGUCUAACAUGUGCGCGAGUCUUAGGGUGCUUGAAACCCAGAGGCAGAAUGAAAGUGAAGACGGCUUCGGCCGCUGAGGCGAGAUUCCGGCUCUCGUAGCCGGACGCAUCGUUGACCGACCUAUUCUACUCUUAGGAAGGUUUGAGUAAGA